Molecule: long non-coding RNA, 989 nt
Filed under: Physcomitrium patens
Lineage: Eukaryota; Viridiplantae; Streptophyta; Bryopsida; Funariales; Funariaceae
Description: long non-coding RNA (PPAT_LNC007033)
Source: RNAcentral
GUAGAAUUUUAGGUCGAGUGAGGGUUUUUAAGUUUUUAUGCAAUCUACUAGUUGGAUUGGAGUAAACUUAUGUGAGAGGAUAUUAGACUUAUUUUCCUAUAUCCAUGAGAGAUUUGAAACCAAUCGAACGGCUCAAAAAAGAGAAAUUGGCUCUGGAAGGUUGGCAACAAGAUUGGAGAAGGAGGCCAGCUAACACCCGAACACAUUUUUGAGGUUUUCAUCAAUUUGUUAACUCCGAUCCUUUUCAAAUUUUUUUGCUUAUUUUGAACUUGGUUUUUAAGAAGUGUGCAAAUUUUGAAUUGAGAUCAACGGUUUAUUCAUUAGAUAUUGAGGUUUAAAUCUGUCGUAGGAAUUACUAGGAUUUGGAUUAGGGUUUGGCUAGGGUUCGGUUUAGGGUUUGGAUUAGGAUUUGGAUUAGGAUUUAGGGUUUGAUUAGAGUUUGGCUAGGGUUCAUUUUAGGAUUUGGAUUAGGAUUUGGAUUAGGGUUUGGUUAGGAUUUGAUUUGAGAUUUGGAUUAGGGUAGGGAUUAAAGUUUGGUUAGGAUUUGAUUUAAGGUUUGGUUUAGGGUUUAGGAUUUGGAUUAGAGUUUAGGAUUGAAUUAGGAUUUGGAUUAGGAUUUGGAUUAGGGUUUAGAAUUUGGUUAGGAUUUGAUUUAGGGUUUGAAUUAGGAUUUGGUUAGGAUUUGAUUUAAGGUUUGGUUUAAGAUUUAGGGUUGGAUUAGGGUUUGGUUUAGGGUUUGAUUUAGGAUUUGAUUUAGGGUCUAGGAUUUGGAAUAGGGUUUAAUUUAAGAACUGUUUAGGAUUUGACUUAGGAUUUAGGAAUUAUUAAGGUUUAAGAUUUUAUUAGAUUUGGUCUAAAGUUGAGUGAAAUUCAAUAGGGUUUUAACUAGAAUUAAAUUAAGGUUGAAUUGACAUAUAUUUGAGUAAAAUUUGUGAUCAUUCUAAUAUUUCUUUAAGAAUUUUAUUAUUUGUUUGAAAUUUCUUUGAGUU